RNA transcript from Microcebus murinus (gray mouse lemur), 2334 nucleotides. It is a transcript of the gene named dihydrouridine synthase 3 like, with no coding region annotated. Lineage: Eukaryota; Metazoa; Chordata; Mammalia; Primates; Cheirogaleidae. The record is from RefSeq and is a predicted model, not a curated record.
AAGUGUUGAUUUUUGUCUGUUUUGUUCAUUGCCACCUUUGCGAGCCCGCCAAGUAUGUGACACCGGAGGCCCCACCCCCUGAAGACUCCGCCCCUGUGACGUAGUCCCGCGACGAUGACGCCACCGGAGCGACCCGAGCAUGCGCACUUCCGCAACACAGCCAGGGCAGACACGCACGACCCGGAAGGUCUUCCCGCUACACUCCAGCGCGGGCGUGAGAAGCGCCGAUGGCGGAGGAAGCGUUGGAGGCCCCAGCAGAGAAUGGUGGUGGUGGUGGCGGCGGCGACUCAGGAGCCAGCGCGUCGGAACGGGGCGUUGCGCCUAUUAAACCUCAAUACCUCACCACCAAGGAGGAGUUUCACAAAUUCCUAGAAGCCAAAGGGCAGGAGAAGCCUUGCCAGGAAACUGAGACAGGAGACCCCGGUGGCAAUGACCUGGCUGAGCCUGAGGCCAAGCGGAUCCGCCUGGAGGAUGGGCAGACGCAGGAUGGGCAGACAGAUGGGGCAGCUGAGCACGGGGAGCUGCUGCCGGCUCAGAAGAGGGCCCGGGGCCAGAACAAGGGCCGGCCCCACACGAAGCCCACACACUACGACCAGAACAGGCUCUGCCCCUCCCUGAUCCAGGAGUCGGCGGCCAAGUGCUUCUUCGGCGACCGCUGCCGUUUCCUGCACGACGUGGGCCGCUACCUGGAGGCCAAGCCCGCCGACCUGGGCCCCCGCUGCGUGCUGUUCGAGACCUUCGGCAGGUGCCCCUACGGCGUGACCUGCCGCUUCGCCGGGGCCCACCUGGGGCCCGAGGGCCAGAACCUGGUGCAGGAGGAGCUGGCGGCCCGCUGGGCGCACGGCCCGCCCGUCCGCAACGGCCUGGACAAGGCCCUGCAGCAGCAGCUGCGCAAGCGCGCGGUCCGCUUCGAGCGAUCGGAGCAGGUCCUGCGCCAGCUAAGCAGGGGCCCCCCGCCGGCUGCCGCCGUCCCCCAGGUCACGGCGGCCGAGGGGGCUCCGGGGCAGAACAACUGUGAGGCCCCGGUGGCCCCUGUAGACCCCGGCGCCGCCACCCCUCCCCACAGCCCUGCGCGGACCUGCGGACCCCUGACGGACGAGGACGUGGUCAGGCUGCGGCCCUGUGAGAAGAAGCGGCUGGACCUCGGCGGUAAACUGUACCUGGCGCCCCUCACCACGUGCGGGAACCUGCCCUUCCGGCGGAUCUGCAAGCGCUUCGGGGCGGACGUGACGUGCGGGGAGAUGGCCGUCUGCACCAACCUCCUGCAGGGCCAGACGUCCGAGUGGGCGCUGCUCAGACGCCACCAGUGUGAGGACAUCUUCGGCGUCCAGCUGGAGGGCGCCUUCCCCGACACCAUGACCAAGUGCGCCGAGCUGCUGAACCGCACCGUGGAGGUGGACUUCGUGGACGUCAACGUGGGCUGCCCCAUCGACCUCGUGUACAAGAAGGGCGGCGGCUGUGCCCUGAUGAAUCGCGCGGCCAAGUUCCAGCAGAUCGUCCGCGGCAUGAACCAGGUGCUGGACGUGCCGCUGACCGUGAAGAUCCGCACGGGCGUCCAGGAGCGCGUGAACCUGGCGCACCGCCUGCUGCCCCAGCUGCGGGACUGGGGUGCCGCCCUCGUCACGCCUGUCCCUCCCCGUCUCUCUCUCUCUGCCCCUCUCUGCGCCUCCCUCCCCGCCUGGGGCCCCCCAGCUGCACGGCCGCUCCCGGGAGCAGCGCUACACCAAGCUGGCCGACUGGCAGUACAUCGAGCAGUGCGUGAAGGCGGCCGGCCCCAUGCCCCUGUUCGGAAACGGUGACAUCUUGUCAUACGAGGACGCCAACCGCGCCAUGCAGACCGGCGUCGCCGGGAUCAUGAUUGCCCGCGGCGCCCUGCUGAAGCCCUGGCUGUUCACGGAAAUCAAAGAGCAGCGGCACUGGGACAUCUCGUCGUCCGAGCGCCUGGACAUCCUGCGUGACUUCACGAGCUACGGCCUGGAGCACUGGGGCUCGGACACGCAGGGCGUGGAGAGGACCCGGCGCUUCCUGCUCGAGUGGCUGUCCUUCCUGUGCAGGUACGUGCCCGUGGGCCUGCUGGAGCGGCUCCCGCAGAGGAUCAACGAGCGGCCGCCCUACUACCUGGGCCGGGACCACCUGGAGACGCUCAUGGCCAGCCAGAAGGCCGCGGACUGGAUCCGCAUCAGCGAGAUGCUCCUGGGGCCAGUGCCCCCCAACUUCGUCUUCCUGCCAAAGCACAAGGCCAACGCGUACAAGUAGCUGCGGGCGCCGGGGGUGGGGGCCUUCCGAGGGGCCCCCCAGGGCACAGAGAAGACAAUAAAUUUUAUUCUUUUAAAA